AUUGAACGCUGGCGGCAUGCCUUACACAUGCAAGUCGAACGGCAGCACGGGAGCAAUCCUGGUGGCGAGUGGCGAACGGGUGAGUAAUAUAUCGGAACGUGCCCAGUCGUGGGGGAUAACGCAGCGAAAGCUGUGCUAAUACCGCAUACGAUCCAUGAAUGAAAGCGGGGGAUCGCAAGACCUCGCGCGAUUGGACCGGCCGAUAUCAGAUUAGCUAGUUGGUGGGGUAAAAGCCCACCAAGGCGACGAUCUGUAGCUGGUCUGAGAGGACGACCAGCCACACUGGAACUGAGACACGGUCCAGACUCCUACGGGAGGCAGCAGUGGGGAAUUUUGGACAAUGGGCGCAAGCCUGAUCCAGCAAUGCCGCGUGCAGGAUGAAGGCCUUCGGGUUGUAAACUGCUUUUGUACGGAACGAAACGGCGAGCUCUAAUAAAGUUUGCUAAUGACGGUACCGUAAGAAUAAGCACCGGCUAACUACGUGCCAGCCGCCGCCGUAA
This 500-nucleotide ribosomal RNA is filed under the name uncultured bacterium. RNAcentral describes it as "partial 16S ribosomal RNA". It matches the Rfam family "Bacterial small subunit ribosomal RNA", at positions 30 to 523 of the family's 1533-position model. The record is from RNAcentral.